AGGAUGCUGUGAAAAUAAAUACAUUGAUACCUGUAAAGCACUGGGGUACAACAAUGAUGAAGGUACCGGAAAGACUGUGAAGAAAUCAUUUGAAGAUCUAGAUAGGGUGCCAACCAUAGAGUUGUGGACCACACACUGAGGAGAAAGAGCAUUGCAAAGUCACUCAUUAAAUGUGCACCAUCCAGUCUGCUCUGAAUAAGAACUACCUUGAGGCACUGACCAAAAGCCAGUCUCUAUUCAGCAGGGCACCAUGCAGGUAACGCUGCAGAGCACUGUAUCGUGCCACAACUGAGAUACCAGCUGCACCUCAGCAUCCCUAGCCAACUUCUUUCACCUGCAUAGUUCUGCUCAGUAAAACCUGCCUUGUGGCCCUCUUCAUUCAAAAGGGGCAGUUUUGGAAAUGGAAGCAGCUAAAGGCCAAAAAGCAUCUGAGGGUGCCUGAGAAAACUGUGAAGAAAACAAAAGACUUCUUAAAUAGAGGGUCAUAAAAGCGAUGGCAAUGAGAAUGGAUGUGGUAGCCUCUGAAACAGAAGACUUAUUAAAUGCAAACCAACUAGCAAUCAGGUGUGGGGCUGGCAGACCUCUUAGCAAAAAAAUAAACAAGCUAUUGUUUUCAGUUUUUCCUACUGGGUUAAAACAAUUUAGUAAUACAGAUUGCAAAAUGAUCUGGAUGAUGCUUUGCAUGGUGCUUUAGGGCCAGCGGUAGGGCUGGUUAUCUACCUAGCUGUGGGGGACCCAGCCCCACUUGUUCAGGUGUGGCAGGUUGCAGUCCCCCUGUGCUCAGCUGCAUCUCGCUGUUCAGGGGAGACCAGGGAUGUCUGAGAGCAGAGGGUUUGGUGGGCUGUGGGGGUGAGACAGGAGGCUUGGGGGCCAUUUCCUGCUUCUCUGCAAGGCCUCAGGCAUGUUGCUUUAGAUCAGACUGAAGUGCAGACUGUCUGCUCAUGCAGUCUCUAAACUCCAUGGGUGCUUUACUUCAUCUUAACUAUCUCCAGAUGCUGACAGGUCAGGCUUUGCUCAUUGUUAGAAAUGCCUUGGUCUUCCUGGCCAGUCCACACCUAACUGCUGGGAAGUCAGGAGUUGUGUGUUUUGCUUGGGAAGUCCUUCCAGGGGUCAGCUUGAUAACUGUUGGGGAAACAAAUUCGGGAUCAGGUCCUGGGAGCAGGAUCCACAGCUCAGAACUGUCCUUCCUCCCUAAUGGCCUCAGGUGGGGCUAUAGAGCCACAGAGAUGGAUGUUGUUGGCCUGAGGGUCCUCAAAUGUGUUUUUGUGGAGCGGUGAGAGAAGGGAAAGAGCAGAAGGAUGGUUUACUGCCUAAUAGGAGACAUCUGACUUAGCUCUGAGUUAUGCCUCACUGAGAUACCUGUUACAUAUCCAAACCUGCCUGAGGAAACUCUCCUGAGUGCUACCACGCACCGGGCCAUGAGCCCAGGUGACUCAAUAGAACUGCACUUGUCCAUGGGUCCAGGCUUCCACAAAGUAAGUGUAGGAGGACCACACCAUAGGCUGUCUUGGCUCUUUUCUGGGGCCCAAUGCUUAUUUUACUCAUUUUAGUUCACAGUUAAUUCAAUUUGGAUGACUCUGUGUGUCCCUCUACUAAGGCAGCCUUAGGAUAAUAAAUACAGUUGGGAUUGUAAAGCACAUGGGUACUGUGGAAAGAGGAAGUAGAGAACAGGGAUAUUGCAUACAGAGCCACACAUUUCUGGCCUUUUAUGUCAGAAAACACUACUUCCACCUAACAUUAGACAAUAUAGUUCUCCAAGCAGAUACUUUCCCCUGCAAAAAUGUAAAGCCAUAGAAACAGUCAUCAAAAAUAUAUGGUCCAGACGGAGGUGAAAUUCUUGCCAUUGACAGACAGGAGCAACUCUAAAUGUCUGAGGAGAGGAGUGAAUUGAGAUCCAGACUUUCCUCUGAAAUGUUUGUUGUAUGGGAGAGUCUUUUCUAAAUCCACAGAGCUCAAUUUGUCACUCUUUCAAAGAGAAGAAGCUGGAUUCCAGCAUAUUUUAUCAAUAAAAGAUCAUAUGUAGUCAGCGAUUUUUUUUUUUUUAUUGCUUUACAUCAUCUCUGGGGAAAGUAUUUACCUCAAGAACUAUUUUGCCAGAUGAUGAGUAGUACUUGUACUUAUUUUGGUUGCGUCCAAGCUGUAACUUUGCCUCAUUUGCAUCUACCCACUAAAUGGUUUAAUUAAUUUUG
Molecule: non-coding RNA, 2189 nt
Organism: Anas platyrhynchos (mallard)
Lineage: Eukaryota; Metazoa; Chordata; Aves; Anseriformes; Anatidae
Source: RefSeq, a predicted model, not a curated record